Molecule: non-coding RNA, 47 nt
Organism: Anopheles darlingi
Lineage: Eukaryota; Metazoa; Arthropoda; Insecta; Diptera; Culicidae
Source: Rfam
AAAUCAGCCCUUUUCAGGGCUACAGAAUGUAUCGGGAAAAGAGCAUU